UACGAAGGGGGCUAGCGUUGUUCGGAUUCACUGGGCGUAAAGGGUGCGUAGGUGGUUGCGCAAGUCUGAUGUGAAAUCUCCGGGCUCAACCCGGAAAUGGCAUUGGAAACUGCGUGGCUAGAGGGUUGGAGGGGGGACUGGAAUACUUGGUGUAGCAGUGAAAUGCGUAGAUAUCAAGUGGAACACCAGUGGCGAAGGCGAGUCCCUGGACAACGCCUGACACUGAGGCACGAAAGCUAGGGGAGCAAACAGG
Molecule: ribosomal RNA, 253 nt
Filed under: uncultured bacterium
Lineage: Bacteria
Description: partial 16S ribosomal RNA
Rfam family: Bacterial small subunit ribosomal RNA
Source: RNAcentral